AUUGAACGCUGGCGGCAGGCUUAAUACAUGCAAGUCGAACGGUAACAGCAGAAAAGCUUGCUUUUUUGGCUGACGAGUGGCGGACGGGUGAGUAAUACCUAGGAAACUGCCUAAACGAGGGGGAUAACAUUUGGAAACGAGUGCUAAUACCGCAUAAUACUGAGAAGUCAAAGGUUGGUUUACCAAUCGCGUUUAGAUGUGCCUAGGAGGGAUUAGCUAGUUGGUGGGGUAAAGGCCUACCAAGGCGAUGAUCUCUAGCUGGUCUGAGAGGAUGACCAGCCACACUGGAACUGAGACACGGUCCAGACUCCUACGGGAGGCAGCAGUAGGGAAUAUUGCACAAUGGGGGGAACCCUGAUGCAGCCAUGCCGCGUGUGUGAAGAAGGCCUCGG
RNAcentral lists this ribosomal RNA (392 nucleotides) under uncultured bacterium. RNAcentral describes it as "bacterial SSU rRNA". It matches the Rfam family "Bacterial small subunit ribosomal RNA", at positions 30 to 420 of the family's 1533-position model. The record is from RNAcentral.